Molecule: ribosomal RNA, 380 nt
Filed under: marine Metazoa environmental sample
Lineage: Eukaryota; Metazoa
Description: SSU rRNA
Rfam family: Eukaryotic small subunit ribosomal RNA
Source: RNAcentral
AGCUCCAAUAGCGUAUAUUAAAGUUGUUGCAGUUAAAAAGCUCGUAGUUGGAUCUCGGGUCCGGGCUGGCGGUCCUAUUCGCGUAGGUACUGCUUGUUCCGACCUCCCUGCCGGUUUUCCCUUGGUGCUCUUCACUGAGUGCCUUGGGUGGCCGGAACGUUUACUUUGAAAAAAUUAGAGUGUUCAAGGCAGGCGUCUCGCCUGAAUAUUGUUGCAUGGAAUAAUGGAAUAGGACCUCGGUUCUAUUUUGUUGGUUUUCGGAACUGGAGGUAAUGAUUAAGAGGGACAGACGGGGGCAUUAGUAUUACGGUGUUAGAGGUGAAAUUCUUGGAUCGCCGUAAGACUAACUACUGCGAAAGCAUUUGCCAAGAAUGUUUUCA